This 78-nucleotide transfer RNA is filed under the name candidate division WS1 bacterium. Its description in RNAcentral is "tRNA-Pro". It matches the Rfam family "tRNA". From Rfam's summary of the family: Transfer RNA (tRNA) molecules are approximately 80 nucleotides in length. Their secondary structure includes four short double-helical elements and three loops (D, anti-codon, and T loops). Further hydrogen bonds mediate the characteristic L-shaped molecular structure. tRNAs have two regions of fundamental functional importance: the anti-codon, which is responsible for specific mRNA codon recognition, and the 3' end, to which the tRNAs corresponding amino acid is attached (by aminoacyl-tRNA synthetases). tRNAs cope with the degeneracy of the genetic code in two manners: having more than one tRNA (with a specific anti-codon) for a particular amino acid; and 'wobble' base-pairing, i.e. permitting non-standard base-pairing at the 3rd anti-codon position. RNAcentral also lists the same sequence under 1 other name. The record is from RNAcentral. Lineage: Bacteria; Bacillati.
CGGGGCGUAGCGCAGCCCGGUUAGCGCGUUAGACUGGGGGUCUAAAGGUCGCCAGUUCAAAUCUGGCCGCCCCGACCA